GACGAACGCUGGCGGCGUGCUUAACACAUGCAAGUCGAACGAUGAUGCCCAGCUUGCUGGGUGGAUUAGUGGCGAACGGGUGAGUAACACGUGAGUAACCUGCCCCUGACUCUGGGAUAAGCGUUGGAAACGACGUCUAAUACUGGAUAUGACUGCCGGCCGCAUGGUCUGGUGGUGGAAAGAUUUUUUGGUUGGGGAUGGACUCGCGGCCUAUCAGCUUGUUGGUGAGGUAAUGGCUCACCAAGGCGACGACGGGUAGCCGGCCUGAGAGGGUGACCGGCCACACUGGGACUGAGACACGGCCCAGACUCCUACGGGAGGCAGCAGUGGGGAAUAUUGCACAAUGGGCGAAAGCCUGAUGCAGCAACGCCGCGUGAGGGAUGACGGCCUUCGGGUUGUAAACCUCUUUUAGUAGGGAAGAAGCGAAAGUGACGGUACCUGCAGAAAAAGCACCGGCUAACUACGUGCCAGCAGCCGCCGUAA
RNAcentral lists this ribosomal RNA (483 nucleotides) under uncultured bacterium. RNAcentral's name for it is "partial 16S ribosomal RNA". It matches the Rfam family "Bacterial small subunit ribosomal RNA", at positions 28 to 523 of the family's 1533-position model. The record is from RNAcentral.